GUAGGAACGCCAAGUGAGUGAUACCAUGCUUCCAGGAAAAGCCACUAAGCUUCAGUUGAAUGAAGACCGUACCGUAAACCGACACAGGUGGGUAGGAUGAGAAUUCUAAGGCGCUUGAGAGAACUCAGGAGAAGGAACUCGGCAAAAUAGCACCGUAACUUCGGGAAAAGGUGUGCCCUUUGUAUGUGUAGCGCCUCGCGCGUGAAGCAGAAUAGGGUUGCAAUGAAAUGGUGGCUGCGACUGUUUAAUAAAAACAUAGCACUCUGCAAACACGAAAGUGGACGUAUAGAGUGUGACGCCUGCCCGGUGCCGGAAGGUUAAAUGAUGGGGUGCAAGCUCUUGAUUGAAGCCCCGGUAAACGGCGGCCGUAACAAUAACGGUCCUAAGGUAGCGAAAUUCCUUGUCGGGUAAGUUCCGACCUGCACGAAUGGCGUAACGAUGGCCACACUGUCUCCUCCUGGGACUCAGCGAAGUUGAAAUGUUUGUGAAGAUGCAAUCUCCCCGCGGCUAGACGGAAAGACCCCGAGCACCUUUACUGUAGCUUUACAUUGGACUUUGAUAACAUUUGUGUAGGAUAGGUGGGAGGCUUUGAAGUGGGUUCGCCAGAAUUCAUGGAGCCAACGUUGAAAUACCACCCUGAUGUUGUUGAGGUUCUAACCUAGAUCCAUUAUCUGGAUUGGGGACCGUGUAUGGUAGGCAGUUUGACUGGGGCGGUCUCCUCCCAAAUUGUAACGGAGGAGUACGAAGGUACGCUAGGUACGGUCGGAAAUCGUGCUGAUAGUGCAAUGGCAAAAGCGUGCUUAACCGCGAGACUGACAAGUCGAGCAGAUGCGAAAGCAGGUCAUAGUGAUCCGGUGGUUCUGUAUGGAAGGGCCAUCGCUCAACGGAUAAAAGGUACGCCGGGGAUAACAGGCUGAUUCCUCCCAAGAGUUCAUAUCGACGGGGGAGUUUGGCGCCUCGAUGUCGGCUCAUCACAUCCUGGGGCUGUAGCCGGUCCCAAGGGUAUGGCUGUUCGCCAUUUAAAGUGGUACGUGAGCUGGGUUUAAAACGUCGUGAGACAGUUUGGUCCCUAUCUGCCGUGGGCGUUGGAAGUUUGAGUGGACCUGCUCCUAGUACGAGAGGACCGGAGUGGACGCACCUCUGGUGUACCGGUUAUGACGCCAGUCGUAUCGCCGGGUAGCUAUGUGCGGAAGAGAUAACCGCUGAAAGCAUCUAAGCGGGAAACUCUCCUCAAGAUGAGACUUCCCGAGGGUUUAACCCUCCUAAAGGUUCGUCGAAGACUACGACGUUGAUAGGUCGGGU
Molecule: ribosomal RNA, 1302 nt
Filed under: metagenome
Description: bacterial LSU rRNA
Rfam family: Bacterial large subunit ribosomal RNA
Source: RNAcentral